This 37-nucleotide transfer RNA is filed under the name Anseropoda aotearoa. RNAcentral's name for it is "partial tRNA-Phe". Lineage: Eukaryota; Metazoa; Echinodermata; Asteroidea; Valvatida; Asterinidae. RNAcentral also lists the same sequence under 1 other name. The record is from RNAcentral.
UGCUAAGAAAAGGAAUCGAACCUUUAUUUAAGCAUUU